CUCCACACGGCGCAUGCGUACUGGACGGCAUUUGUGUCCGAGCCCACAGUGAAUGACAGGUCAAGUGAGCAGGGGCGGUCAUUGCAUUUUACCGCUGGGGGGCAUCAAGUUUGGAGGAAACCAGGCAUGAAUCAUCACCAGACCAAUGCCAUUCCUACAGUGAAGCAUCAUGCCAUGGGAUUUAUUUGCAGCAGAAGCACUGGCAGACUAGUGAGGAAGAGGGAAAGAUGAAUGCAGCAUUGUACAAGAACAUCCUGGAUGUGAACCUGCUCCAAAGCACCUUGAACUUACACUGGGGCGAUAGUUCAUUUUUUAGCUGGACAAAAACCCAAAACAUAUGACCAAGAUCUCAAAGCAGUGGCUUCAAAACUACUGUGUGAACAUUCUGGAGCAUAGAGUCCAGACUAGAAUUUCAUUGGACAUCUCUGGAGAGAUCAGAAAACAGUUGCACAUAAAUCUCCCAUCCAACCUAUUGGAGAUCGAGAAGAACUGCAAAGAAAACUGUGUGAAACUGCCUAAAGAUAGUUGAACUAAGCAGGUUGCAUCAUAUUCAAAAAGCCUUGAGUCUGUAAUUGAUGUUAAAUGUGUAUCAACAAAGUAUUAAACAAAGGUGAAUAUUUA
Long non-coding RNA from Gambusia affinis (western mosquitofish), 621 nucleotides. RefSeq lists it as uncharacterized. NCBI's taxonomy places the organism in Eukaryota, Metazoa, Chordata, Actinopteri, Cyprinodontiformes, Poeciliidae. The transcript is spliced from 2 exons. The record is from RefSeq and is a predicted model, not a curated record.